CAUAAGUUGAAAACCCCUAAUCGAUUUCUAGCCCAGCCGCUCUUCCAGAUCCACACCGUUUCUUCCAUUAAAUCUCUAUCGCUCAUAUGGUGUAAUUUGGUGAACAAUUUCCUAUUUCUAGACGUCCCGUCCAACAACCUUCCAACUAUGUCUCCGGUUCUUUAGCCUUAUAAUGCUACUCACAUAUUUGAUGCAUUUGUCUUAUGGAUCUGUUCACAGUUUUUCCCCCACCAUCAAACACUUUGUAUCCUUCCGCUUAUCACCACGACGAACUGCCACAAAUAAUAUCACCUUCUCCCCCACCAUGACCUCACACAUUGGACAAUACCUCUCUUAACUCUAUAUCCGCUACUAAAACCCUAAUCCUUCCCACAAGCCAAACACUUGACGUCGCUGCUCAUUCACCUUUAUCUCUCUCUGAAACUUCAUGGCUGCUAUUCCUAUCUACCACCAAGGCUGAUUGAACGACGAGUUAGAGUUUUUAUCAUCUAAUGAGCAGUCAGCUUUUACUAAAAUUUUAAGUCAACCAUUGCCACCAUCUACUAUGGUCACCAUGUUAUUCACCAUACCAAGCAACCAUCACGUACUACCUUCACCCUAAAGGAAGCAUAUCUCAGAGGUUCAAUUUAAUCUCAAGCGUUACACUCCUGAAUAUCUAGAAGAAAUCCUUUAUCACGUUCGAAAUCCACAUAUUACUAAGUCUAUUUGUUGAUUUUUCUUUCAAAUCUCAACUAUGUUUUUUUUGUGGUUCGAAAAAUGAUUUUCAGAUCUGGAUGAAAAUCAACUUAAAGGGAACAAAAAGGGUUUGAAUAAGUUUUAGCAAAUUGCAUUAGGUAGCAAGCUAUUACUUUUCCAUCUUCACAUAUGUUUCUUUUAUAUAUUUUGGUUUAUAGUAAUGAAACCAAUUUUAAAGAAUGUGUUUUCCGUUUAUAAUAGUUCUUAUGGACCUUUUGACUUUUGUUGCAGGUUUUUGAGUCCUCCACCUACAAACAUGAACAUAACUGAUUUUAAUUUUUCUGUGCAGAUUUGGGCAUUUCUUUACUGAUAUGCAACCAUGAGGCUUAAUGUAAUUAGGUAUACAAUUUUUUGUUUUAUUUAUAUUUUGUAGUCUAAGAUUAGCUUUGUUUUAUGGAAAAAUGGGUUCAUUUUAGGUUCAGAUCUAUUUUAUAGUAAUUAUUAGUUGUAGAUAUGUUUUAAGAUAAACUUUCUUCAAUUUGGUCCUUUUUUACGAGGUUUCAAAGGUGUAGUUGUUAGAUGUGGUUCAAGUGAAGGCUAUUAAUCUUGCCUGAAUUUGCAACUUUGAUAUUUGAAUUUAUUAGCAUACACGUGAACAUACAUCAAAAGAUUGUAUCUGAGCAUCAGAUUGUGGAUCCAACUUUGUUUUUGCAGAAGACCCACAAGAUAAAAAGGUACUUUGGAAAGUUAGUUUACCUCUUUAAUCUUUUUGAUUUAAAAAAAAAUAGUAUCUUAAAAGUUUCUUUUUUGCCCCUUUGUCUUUCUAGAUAAGGAAAAAUGCUCUGUAUGCCUUCUUUGCAAUGUCACAUGGUUUUGAAGCAAUGCCAACAGUUAAUUUCAAUACACUUCCUGUCAAUAAGAAAUCAACAACUAUUUAUUUUUUAGUGCUUGAUUAUGUAUGCAAUUCUCAUAUCAUGACUUAUAAACAGAGACAAAUUGGAUAUUCUAUUUGUGAUUAUGACAACUUUGCCCCUACAAGAUCACAUUGCAGGUUCUGAAUUUCAUAGUUAUGUUUGAUUAUAUUGAUGAUCGCAUGCUGAAGAUACUUUGUUCCAUCAUAAAUCACUUGGCCUGCUACUGCCAUGGACAUGGACACUUCAUAUUAUCAUCAUAGUUACCCUUGGUUUUUUACUUUAAGUUUUAAAUCUCCCAAUUCUUUCAUAUUUCCUUGUUUUUUGUUAAUUACCUAACAAUAUUCACGUUGAUCAUU
Molecule: non-coding RNA, 1945 nt
Organism: Lactuca sativa (garden lettuce)
Lineage: Eukaryota; Viridiplantae; Streptophyta; Magnoliopsida; Asterales; Asteraceae
Source: RefSeq, a predicted model, not a curated record